AAGGAAAAAAUCCUCCACUUUUGUCCGACCAAACCCGCAGCCCUUGUCCUGUCGCAGCGUCACUCCCCUCCCCGUAGCUUCCCGACGUUGCACUGCUCCCCUCCCCGCUGCGCCGCGCCGGUGAGCUCCUCCGUGCCGCUGAGCUCGCUCACCCCGCUGAGAUCCCCCGCGCCUCCUCUCCCUCCUCCACGCUGCCGCGCCACUCCAGUUCGCUGCGUAACUCCUCCUCUCCCGUAAAAAUCCCUUCUUUCGGUGAGGUUCUCUUCGACGAGGCGCCGCUCGAUCUGGAGGAUGACGACAAGUUGGCGCUCGAUCUGGAGCAUGGCGACGGCAUGGGGCGGGCGCUCUCGUCCUCGAGCUCCUAGUCCACCAGCUCCUCUUCCUCCUCCAGGCCCUCCUCAACAUCACCGGCAACGACGGCAUGGGGAAGACGACGGCGGCGGCUGUGAAAGUCGACCCCAACAAAGGCGGAUCCUCCUCAACAUCCCAGGCUCCUCCUCCUUUAGGUCCUCCUCGUGCUCAUCUAUCUCAUGCCAACAAGUUUACAAGGACAACAUUUCUGUCAAACUAAAGCAAGCAAACACUUAACUGGAUUUGCAAUGACAGGCUCUUUCACCAAUGUGAAAAAAUGAGGGGAGCAGGGCCAGGAAUUAAAAAGCAACGAAAGCAGGGGCCAUGAGUACAUCUCAACUUUUACUGUAUUUCUUAUUGACAACUAGUGUAGGUACACAUUCUGAAUAUUGAAAUUAUCUUCUGUUAGUUACUAGGAUAGUGGUUCAUCCUGCUUGUCUGAUCUGUGGAGGAUACCAAGGGCAUCAACCUCCCCAACUUGAAUUUGUGUUGUUGUUACUUGACAUGUUUGUGUUCCUCAUUUGGAUUCACGUAAGACCUGUGAUACUUUGGAGAGGGACUUGGUAGUAUUAUAUGGGCAGUUUGGCCACAUAGUUUGGCAACCUUGUUUGAGGAGAACAAGUUUGCAUGCUGAUAAUCUUACCUACUUUGUGACAGAUCAACAUAUAAUUUCUUCUGGACUUGGAAUGAUGUGUGCUAAACUGCUAAUAGUAUAAUAAUAAAACAUAUAGUGCAGUCAUUGAUUUAUCAUUUAUGUAACCUAACCUGUGAUUCUUUUUGUCAUUUUGUUAAUGUUGCUGGUGUCUCAUAGGUUGCGCAUAACGGCUUACCCGCCCUGGCAAUUUUGCUGCCCUUCUCAUGCAUCCUAGGCCUCUUCUCAUCACUGACCACAACAAGCAUGGUGGCGAGGAGAUGUGUGGAUCUACGCGGCGAUCCAGUUCCUCUUCGUCUUGUUCUUCACGCAUCUGUUCUACAGAUAUCUGCAUCUGCAGGCUGUGAUAUCCAUCAUCCUGACAACCUUACCAUGACACUACUAUUAUUGGACAAUUUUUACACUCAUCUCUACCUGGAGAACAAAUUCCUUAGUGCAAUUAAUCGAUUGAAUUUACACUCAUAUGCAGAUUGCGUAGAAAAAUUGACUGUAUUUUGAUGACUGAAUUUAAAAUCACUACUUGGAGUACACACUGACUGAAUUUAACACUGCAAUUGAUUAUCCUAUGAUCCAUGGACACUGCAAUUGUGCAUUAUCCUAGAUACAGAACAUGGAUCUCUGAAUAAUUCAACAAUUGAGAGGCAUAACAUUUUUUCCUUCUCCCAUUUUAGACCAUAACAACAAAAAUCUGGUCCAGUUGCUCUUGAUGAUGCAUUUAGUUAACUCGUAAUUUUGCCAAAAUCUAGACAAGUUGCUCUUGAUGCAUUCAGUUAACUUGAUGCUAUUAGUCCAGAGAACAUGUUCAGUUUUCUUAAUAGCAGAUCAAUUUUCUUCAGAGAACAUGAUCAGUUUUCUUAAGAGCAGAUCAAUUUUCUUCAGUGAACAUGAUGAGUAGUGUUUGAAAUUGUAAUGUACAGAAAUUGGAGCACCACGAGCAAGCAGGCAGAGGAGCAGAUUUACAGAGGGGUGCUUCUUCUCACCAGCAGCAACACGAGCAGGGGAGCUACGGGCGGAGGAGCAGCAACUUGCACAGGAGCAGGCCUGCUGGGAGCUUGAGGACGAGCUUGAGGUCGAGGCCCACCGGGAGCUCCAGCUCCAGGCGCUCGAAACGCAGGCGCGCACAGGUCCCGGGCGGCGGGAAGGGAUACCGGCGGCGCAGGCCCAGGGCGGCGGGUGGGGAUAGUGGCGGCGCAACCCUGGGCUGGCAGGAGGGGUCACCGCGGGAGGGGAUAGCGGCGGUGCAGCGCCCUUCAGCCCUGGAGUCGCCGCCCAUCGAGGUGGUCGCCACGGAGGAGUAGGUGGCCGGCGGGUGGUGCAACUCGUCUCCGUGCGGGCGGCACGGGUGGGCAGGGGCGGCGAAGGUUCGCGCGGUGGCGCAGGUUGGUCGUCGUCGCGCGCUGGUCUUUGUGGGUGCCAACGGUGGUUGUGGUGACCACGAUAUGCGCUGACGACGGCGGAAGGAGGAAGAAGCAGAGGGGGCUAAUUAGCAUAAGUUUAAAAGAUGAAGGGUUUUUUGAAAAAUUGUAAAUGAACUAAGGAAUGGACAACUUUUCCCGGACGGAGAGAGUAGCUACUAGCUACGGACCCGAACGUUUACAAAACACUACUCACGCAUCAUCGGAGAGGCACCAAUGGAAGUGGUGAACCCCUCCGUGAUGGUGUCUAGAUUGGAUCUGGUGGUUCUGGACUAUGCGGCAGCUGGAAUUGAUUUUCGUCAAGU
Molecule: non-coding RNA, 2723 nt
Organism: Aegilops tauschii subsp. strangulata
Lineage: Eukaryota; Viridiplantae; Streptophyta; Magnoliopsida; Poales; Poaceae
Source: RefSeq, a predicted model, not a curated record